UUCCUGUCAGCCGUGGGUGCC
RNAcentral lists this microRNA (21 nucleotides) under Mus musculus (house mouse). Its description in RNAcentral is "mmu-miR-3058-3p". Lineage: Eukaryota; Metazoa; Chordata; Mammalia; Rodentia; Muridae. The record is from miRBase by way of RNAcentral.